Molecule: ribosomal RNA, 680 nt
Filed under: Verrucosispora sp. YIM 78157
Lineage: Bacteria; Bacillati; Actinomycetota; Actinomycetes; Micromonosporales; Micromonosporaceae
Description: bacterial SSU rRNA
Rfam family: Bacterial small subunit ribosomal RNA
Source: RNAcentral
GGUACUCGAGCGGCGAACGGGUGAGUAACACGUGAGCAACCUGCCCCAGGCUUUGGGAUAACCCCGGGAAACCGGGGCUAAUACCGGAUAUGACCUUCGGACGCAUGUUCGGGGGUGGAAAGUUUUUCGGCUUGGGAUGGGCUCGCGGCCUAUCAGCUUGUUGGUGGGGUGAUGGCCUACCAAGGCGACGACGGGUAGCCGGCCUGAGAGGGCGACCGGCCACACUGGGACUGAGACACGGCCCAGACUCCUACGGGAGGCAGCAGUGGGGAAUAUUGCACAAUGGGCGGAAGCCUGAUGCAGCGACGCCGCGUGAGGGAUGACGGCCUUCGGGUUGUAAACCUCUUUCAGCAGGGACGAAGCGCAAGUGACGGUACCUGCAGAAGAAGCGCCGGCCAACUACGUGCCAGCAGCCGCGGUAAGACGUAGGGCGCGAGCGUUGUCCGGAUUUAUUGGGCGUAAAGAGCUCGUAGGCGGCUUGUCGCGUCGACUGUGAAAACCCGUGGCUCAACUGCGGGCCUGCAGUCGAUACGGGCAGGCUAGAGUUCGGUAGGGGAGACUGGAAUUCCUGGUGUAGCGGUGAAAUGCGCAGAUAUCAGGAGGAACACCGGUGGCGAAGGCGGGUCUCUGGGCCGAUACUGACGCUGAGGAGCGAAAGCGUGGGGAGCGAACAGGAUUAG